AACGCGAAGAACCUUACCAGGUCUUGACAUCCUUAUGCCAUCCCUAGAGAUAGGGCUUUCCCUUCGGGGACAUAAGUGACAGGUGGUGCAUGGUUGUCGUCAGCUCGUGUCGUGAGAUGUUGGGUUAAGUCCCGCAACGAGCGCAACCCUUGAUCUUAGUUGCCAGCAUUCAGUUGGGCACUCUAAGGUGACUGCCGGUGACAAACCGGAGGAAGGUGGGGAUGACGUCAAAUCAUCAUGCCCCUUAUGACCUGGGCUACACACGUGCUACAAUGGAUGGUACAAAGGGCAGCGAAACCGCGAGGUUAAGCCAAUCCCAUAAAACCAUUCUCAGUUCGGAUUGCAGGCUGCAACUCGCCUGCAUGAAGCCGGAAUCGCUAGUAAUCGCGGAUCAGCAUGCCGCGGUGAAUACGUUCCCGGGCCUUGUACACACCG
This 435-nucleotide ribosomal RNA is filed under the name Bacillus sp. C20. Its description in RNAcentral is "bacterial SSU rRNA". It matches the Rfam family "Bacterial small subunit ribosomal RNA", at positions 958 to 1392 of the family's 1533-position model. The record is from RNAcentral. Lineage: Bacteria; Bacillati; Bacillota; Bacilli; Caryophanales; Bacillaceae.